Molecule: non-coding RNA, 169 nt
Filed under: Lotharella globosa
Lineage: Eukaryota; Cercozoa; Chlorarachniophyceae
Source: RNAcentral
UUCUUUUUUUUUUUUUCUCCCUUAUAUCUUGUACACUCGCGAGAUAGACCAUGAAUAACACAUCAACAACAGCGCACGAAGGUGCGAGCCAGAAGACCGAAAAAUCGGCAACAAAACAACAAAAAUUCCAAAAAAAUAAAACCAAUACUUACAAAAAAAACCAAAAAAA